This 492-nucleotide ribosomal RNA is filed under the name uncultured bacterium. RNAcentral's name for it is "partial 16S ribosomal RNA". It matches the Rfam family "Bacterial small subunit ribosomal RNA", at positions 30 to 507 of the family's 1533-position model. The record is from RNAcentral.
AGUGAACGCUGGCGGUAGGCCUAACACAUGCAAGUCGAACGGCAGCACAGUAAGAGCUUGCUCUUACGGGUGGCGAGUGGCGGACGGGUGAGGAAUACAUCGGAAUCUACUUUUUCGUGGGGGAUAACGUAGGGAAACUUACGCUAAUACCGCAUACGACCUACGGGUGAAAGCAGGGGAUCUUCGGACCUUGCGCGAUUGAAUGAGCCGAUGUCGGAUUAGCUAGUUGGCGGGGUAAAGGCCCACCAAGGCGACGAUCCGUAGCUGGUCUGAGAGGAUGAGAGGCAACAGUGGAACGGAGACAGGGUCCAGACUCAUACGGGAGGAAGCAGGGGGGAAUAUUGGAAAAGGGGCGAAGGCCGGACCCAGCAAUCCGGGGUGGGGGAAAAGGGCCUGGGGUUUGAAAGGCCGUUUUGUGGGAAAAAAAAAGCAGCGGGUAAAUACCCCGCUGUUCUGAGGGUACCCAAAGAAAAAGCACCGGCUACCUUCGUG